Molecule: ribosomal RNA, 231 nt
Filed under: uncultured bacterium
Lineage: Bacteria
Description: partial 16S ribosomal RNA
Rfam family: Bacterial small subunit ribosomal RNA
Source: RNAcentral
CGGGUGAGUAACGCGUGGGUAACCUGCCUCAUACAGGGGGAUAACAGUUAGAAAUGGCUGCUAAUACCGCAUAAGCGCACAGAGCUGCAUGGCUCAGUGUGAAAAACUCCGGUGGUAUAAGAUGGACCCGCGUUGGAUUAGCUAGUUGGUGGGGUAACGGCCCACCAAAGCGACGAUCAGUAGCCGGCCUGAGAGGGUGAACGGCCACAUUGGGACUGAGACACGGCCCAA